Molecule: ribosomal RNA, 442 nt
Filed under: uncultured bacterium
Lineage: Bacteria
Description: bacterial SSU rRNA
Rfam family: Bacterial small subunit ribosomal RNA
Source: RNAcentral
AACGCGAAGAACCUUACCUACCCUUGACAUGUAUGGAAUCCUGCUGAGAGGUGGGAGUGCCCGAAAGGGAGCCAUAACACAGGUGCUGCAUGGCUGUCGUCAGCUCGUGUCGUGAGAUGUUGGGUUAAGUCCCGCAACGAGCGCAACCCUUGUCCUGUGUUGCCAUCAUUCAGUUGGGAACUCGCAGGAGACCGCCAGCGAUAAGCUGGAGGAAGGUGGGGAUGACGUCAAGUCCUCAUGGCCUUUAUGUCCAGGGCUACACACGUGCUACAAUGGCCGGUACAAAGCGCCGCAAACCCGCGAGGGGGAGCCAAUCGCAAAAAACCGGUCUCAGUUCGGAUUGCAGGCUGCAACCCGCCUGCAUGAAGCUGGAAUCGCUAGUAAUGGCAGAUCAGCACGCUGCCGUGAAUACGUUCCCGGGCCUUGUACACACCGACUGUAC